This 357-nucleotide RNase P RNA is filed under the name Betaproteobacteria bacterium MOLA814. RNAcentral's name for it is "Bacterial RNase P class A". It matches the Rfam family "Bacterial RNase P class A". Rfam says of the family: Ribonuclease P (RNase P) is a ubiquitous endoribonuclease, found in archaea, bacteria and eukarya as well as chloroplasts and mitochondria. Its best characterised activity is the generation of mature 5'-ends of tRNAs by cleaving the 5'-leader elements of precursor-tRNAs. Lineage: Bacteria; Pseudomonadati; Pseudomonadota; Betaproteobacteria. The record is from Rfam by way of RNAcentral.
GAAGCCAGCUAGGUCGUCGCUGGUGCAUAAGCCGAAAGGCUGCACUGGAGGAACGUCCGGACUGCAUAGGAUAGCGUAGCAGGUAACACCUGCGCACCGACCGCCUGCAAGGGCCUAAGGUGACGAUUAGAGCAACAGAGACGAGCCGCUUAAGUGCGGGUGAAACGGGCAAUCUCUACGCGCAGCAAUACCAAAUAGGCCAACACGCACAACCCUGUGUUGUGCAAGCUGUGAUCCGCAGAUUGUUGGCGGGUAGGUAGCACCGAGCCGCUUGGGCGACCAGCGGCCCAGAUGAAUGGCGACCAGGGUGGUGUUACAACCACUUCACAAAAUCCGGCGUAUCGGCUGGCUUCACAC